CACAGAGUGCCCUUGUCUGAUGGCAAUGUUGGAAGAAACUGUCUUUACAUUGAAUAGAAGACCAAGCUCCAGCUGUGAGUGCCAAGCCAGCUCCUGGAUGUCAGUGGCUGUCUUUCUCAGGGAGGAGAGAAUGGGUGAGGAAGCUGAACUGACUUUGGUGACAUAUAUUCCCCAAGAUCUGACAGCUGAUGAGUGACAGAGCACGUAUUCAAACCCAGGUCUGUACGGCUCUAGUCUCCUUGUUCUUUCUUAGACAUUGCACUAACUACUUCUGGAGAGAAUCAGAACGUAGAUAAAGGAUUGUGAGAUUUAGCAAAUAAAAAUACAGGAAGCCAAGUUAAAUUUGAAGUUCAGACAAAUAACAAAAAUGUAGUAUAAAUAUGUGUCAUGCAAUAUUUGGGACAUACUUAUACUGAAAAAUGCCAAUUGUUUAUCUGAAAUUCAAAUUUAAUUGAGUGUUCUAUAUUUUUAAAUCUCACACAGACACUAGCCAAAUUUCUUGGGGUUGGAGAAUAAUGUGGGAUAUUGGGAUAAAAAUUGGAUUUUGUUGGCUGAUGUCUACUACUUGCCCUGUUCUCUGCAGUUUUUUUUUUUUUUUUUUUUUGCAAAGAGAAUAACACAUAUAAAGAACAAUAGCAAAAUGGAAAAAAUAUUAUACUGUUUAUUGAAAGUGGAACAGGCAUCCUAUAUUCUCACCAUUCUCCCCACCUCCCCACUUCCCUCUUUGAACCAAAAAAAAAAAAAAAAAAAAAAUUAAAACAGAGCUUCACAUUCUCCCUGAAUUGGAGAACAAAGCUCAAGACUGAGGUAUAAAGGGCUCCUGCAUUCUUCCUGUUUUCAAAUCUUGGGACCCUUAAUAAGCCACUCUUGCAAGUAGGAGGGAAGUGGGCUUUAGGCCGGGUCAGAGGGAAGAGGGCUGGCUGGGACUGAAUGGGUACUGAGCCCCUAAUAUACCUGUGCCCCACUGGAGAGAUGCCAGCUGUCCUAGCCCCAAGAGGCAAGUCUUGCACAGGUGACUUUGACAGAGGGAGGUAGAAAGCAGAAUAGCUUUUCUGACACUUGGUGGCCCUGAUCCCUCCAUUGGCCAACCAUAUUCCUGUAAAGGUCUUGAUAUCUGACCAAACUGGCCAUUUUUCUUUCUUUGGAGUAGCUGGGGUAAGAAAAGGAAGGUAGAUGGGUAGAAUAGGGGAAGAAUAUAGGGUAUUGGGUAGAACAGGUGGCAUUUCUCUCUGUAAAACUUGCCACAUCUUAUCUGGUAAUAAAGUUAAUCUCUUACAACAGCAUCAUUUUUUACACUUUACAAAAUACCUUCACUUUAUCCUGUAAAUUGGCUAUUGAUUUGUACUUAAAAUAAAUUAGUCUCUAAUGUGGCAACUUUCCCACCAACACUUUAAAAUGCUUGCCUUCUGGAAUUAGCACCCUGUUAACCUGACCGUCUCUAAAUGUUUUCUAUCUUCAAAAAUGAUAAUUGAAUACCAUUGCCAGCCAUAAUUAUUUAGACAGCACUUUGCACAUUAAUAUCUACUCAAUUAUCAUUCCCUGCAGCUAUAAUCUUAACCCAAAAUAAAGCUUUAAAAGUUGUAUUUUCUCUCUCUUUAAAAUUGGUUCUUUUUGUUGUUGUUCUUUCCUAAUUUUCACCUUUCUUUACUCCAAGUGAAUUCUUUAAAAUCUGAGAGGGAAUUUGGUAAGACCUUCCCCUAGCCUUCAUGGAAUGGAGUGGUUCAUUUCCAAAAGCAUGAGUGAAAUGGAGAUCACUACAUAUAUUAAAGACAUAUGCACAAUGCAGCUUUGAGAAUGAGAAUUCUUGGAAGGAAGGGGUGAAGGCUUUCCUUCCACCAAGAUCAGAACUUGCUCUCUCACCUUGAUAUGGUUUGACUGUGUCCCCACCCAAAUCCUCAUCUUGAAUUGUAGCUCCCAUAAUCCCCACAUGUUGUGGGAGGGACCCAGUGGAAGGUAAUUGAAUCACGGAGGCCAGUUGUUCCCAUGCUGUUCUCAUGAUGGUGACUAAGUCUCAUGAGAUCUGAUGGUUUUAUAAAGGGCAGCUCCCCUGUACAGGCUCUCUUGCUUGCGACCGUGUAAGAUGUGACUUUGCUCCUCCUUUACCUUCUGCCAUGAUUGUGAGGCCUCCCCAGUCAUAUGAAACUAUGAGUCUAUUAAACCUCUUUUUCUUUCUAAAUUACACAGUCUCAGGUAUGUCUUUAUUAGCAGC
Molecule: long non-coding RNA, 2209 nt
Filed under: Homo sapiens (human)
Lineage: Eukaryota; Metazoa; Chordata; Mammalia; Primates; Hominidae
Description: HSALNT0098297
Source: RNAcentral